GUUAAGCGACUAAGCGUACACGGUGGAUGCCCUGGCAGUCAGAGGCGAUGAAGGACGUGCUAAUCUGCGAUAAGCGUCGGUAAGGUGAUAUGAACCGUUAUAACCGGCGAUUUCCGAAUGGGGAAACCCAGUGUGAUUCGUCACACUAUCAUUAACUGAAUCCAUAGGUUAAUGAGGCGAACCGGGGGAACUGAAACAUCUAAGUACCCCGAGGAAAAGAAAUCAACCGAGAUUCCCCCAGUAGCGGCGAGCGAACGGGGAGCAGCCCAGAGCCUGAAUCAGUGUGUGUGUUAGUGGAAGCGUCUGGAAAG
This 311-nucleotide ribosomal RNA is filed under the name Escherichia coli. RNAcentral's name for it is "partial 23S ribosomal RNA". It matches the Rfam family "Bacterial large subunit ribosomal RNA", at positions 1 to 349 of the family's 2925-position model. The record is from RNAcentral. Lineage: Bacteria; Pseudomonadati; Pseudomonadota; Gammaproteobacteria; Enterobacterales; Enterobacteriaceae.